GAAAGUUUACCACAUUAAUAUAGAUGGAUAGAUAACUUUAUUAAUCCCCAAAGGAAAAUUUCAGUUGUCAUAGCAGCCAGGUACCUCAAAAAGACAAAAUUAAG
This is a long non-coding RNA of Thalassophryne amazonica, 104 nucleotides long. RefSeq lists it as uncharacterized. The record is from RefSeq and is a predicted model, not a curated record. NCBI's taxonomy places the organism in Eukaryota, Metazoa, Chordata, Actinopteri, Batrachoidiformes, Batrachoididae. The transcript has 3 exons.